This is a long non-coding RNA of Haliotis rubra (blacklip abalone), 889 nucleotides long. RefSeq lists it as uncharacterized. The record is from RefSeq and is a predicted model, not a curated record. The transcript is spliced from 3 exons. NCBI's taxonomy places the organism in Eukaryota, Metazoa, Mollusca, Gastropoda, Lepetellida, Haliotidae.
UUACUAACUUUACAACGUGUACAGACGCCAGUUACUUUCUCUCAAUCCGUUUCACUUCGCUGUCACCUCAACAACCAGUUCAAUUAUCACUUUUCUGUCUUUCCAUGUUCAACUGCAAUAUGUUUUAGCUUCAUUUUAAAAGAGAGUUAGGAUAUUGCUGACGAUAUCUCGACCCUGAGAUGUGGAACGGCGACCUUGUCUCGCUGUUCGACAUGUUGACAAUUAACUGACAAAGGUGCACCCCUUCACAAUAAUAGGACUCUAACCAUCUGUGACACGGUCAUGCAAUUCAUUAGUAUUCACUGGAUCAGGUCAAGCUGAAUGAGCUGUAGUGAUGCCUUUCAGUGAACGCUGACAGAAAUGGAUACAAAUUUAGUAAUAAUGGUUGACCACUGCUAGCACACAGCACCGCAAGUAAUGGCACUUGUCUAUUCUCCAACAUCCCAGGUAAUAAUGGUUGACCACUUCUAGCACACAGCACCGGAAGUAAUGGCACUUGUCUAUUCUCCAACAUCCCAGGUAAUAAUGGUUGACCACUGCUAGCACACAGCACCGGAAGUAAUGGCACGUGUCUAUUCUCCAACAUCUCAGGUAAUAAUGGUUGACCACUGCUAGCACACAGCACCGGAAGUAAUGGCACGUGUCUAUUCUCCAACAUCUCAGGUAAUAAUGGUUGACCACUGCUAGCACACAGCACCGGAAGUAAUGGCACUUGUCUGUUCUCCAACAUUCCAGGUAAUAAUGGUUGACCACUGCUAGCACACAGCACCGCAAGUAAUGGCACUUGUCUAUUCUCCAACAUCCCAGGUAAUAAUGGUUGACCACUGCUAGCACACAGCACCGGAAGUAAUGGCACUUGUUUAUUCUCCAACUUCCCAGGUAAUAAUGG